UGUAAGCGUAUACCAAAGUUGUUGCAGUUAAAACGCUCGUAGUCGGAAUUUGGCAGUUCCGGAUGUGUGCACGUCGUGUGCGCACUUCGCGGGGAUUGCUUUUGUGGUCUUGCGUAGGAUGAGGCACUUUUAUUAGUGAACGUCCUCACGCAACCACUUUUUACUGUGAGAAAAUCAGAGUGCUCAAAGCAGGCAUUUGCCGUGAAUGUAUUAGCAUGGAAUAAUAGAAUAGGACUUGGUUCUAUUUUGUUGGUUUGUUGGGACUGAGUAAUGAUUAAGAGGGACAGUUGGGGGCAUUUGUAUUUCGGUGCUAGAGGUGAAAUUCUUAGAUUACCGAAAGACAAACUGCUGCGAAAGCGUCUGCCAUGGAUGUUUUCAUUAA
Molecule: ribosomal RNA, 382 nt
Filed under: uncultured eukaryote
Lineage: Eukaryota
Description: partial 18S ribosomal RNA
Rfam family: Eukaryotic small subunit ribosomal RNA
Source: RNAcentral